Molecule: ribosomal RNA, 575 nt
Filed under: uncultured bacterium
Lineage: Bacteria
Description: bacterial SSU rRNA
Rfam family: Bacterial small subunit ribosomal RNA
Source: RNAcentral
AACCUGCAUCAAGCCUGAGCCAUCCAUACCGCGUGUGUGAAGAAGGCCCUAGGGUUGUAAAGCACUUUAAGUUGGGAAGUAAAAGUUAUUGGUUAAUACCCAAUGACCGUGACAUUACUCAUCAGAAUAAGGACCGGCUAAUUCCGUGCCAGCAGCCGCGGAAAUACGGAAGGUCCAAGCGUUAAUCGGAAUUACUGGGCGUAAAGCGCGCGUAGGUGGUUUAUUAAGUUGGGUGUGAAAUCCCCGGGCUCAACCUGGGAACUGCAUCCAAAACUGAUUCACUAGAGUACGAUAGAGGGAGGUAGAAUUCACAGUGUAGCGGUGGAAUGCGUAGAUAUUGUGAAGAAUACCAAUGGCGAAGGCAGCCUCCUGGAUCUGUACUGACACUGAGGUGCGAAAGCGUGGGUAGCGAACAGGAUUAGAUACCCUGGUAGUCCACGCCGUAAACGAUGUCAACUAUCUGUUGGAAAGCAUUGCUUUUUAGUGGAGCAGCUAACGUAAUAAGUUGACCCGCCUGGGGAGUACGGCCGCAAGGCUAAAACUCAAAUGAAUUGACGGGGACCCGCACAAGCGGU